Molecule: small nuclear RNA, 105 nt
Filed under: Catagonus wagneri (Chacoan peccary)
Lineage: Eukaryota; Metazoa; Chordata; Mammalia; Artiodactyla; Tayassuidae
Source: RNAcentral
GGGUCUGAUAACCACCAUUUCACUAAAAUUGGAAUGAUACAGGGGAAAUUAGUAUGGCCCCUGUGCAAGGAUGACAUGAAGGUUUUGAAAGUGUUCCAUAUGUUU